AACACUAUGGCCGAGUGGUCUAAGGCACUAGAUUUAGGUUUCUCGUAAUCUACCUCUAGUCAUUUGUGGUGUGGGUUCAAAUCCCACUCUGAUC
Molecule: non-coding RNA, 94 nt
Organism: Gymnopus androsaceus JB14
Lineage: Eukaryota; Fungi; Basidiomycota; Agaricomycetes; Agaricales; Omphalotaceae
Source: the annotation of a GenBank genome assembly